CACCUGGGCCCUGCUCUCAGAUGGAAGUGUCACCAAACACCCAGAUCGCCGUGCUCCUGCUUCUCUGGGUUCAAUGAGACCCUCCACCCAGAUGAGCAUGAGCCCAGCCAGGGUGGGCUGUUCAGUUUCUUCCCUGGGAAUCUGGAGCUGGAUUGAGCUGGUCUGCAGCCUGGUCUGAGAGCCCAGCAGGCUCGAGACACUGCAACCUGGCCUGGCCGUGGGCAGGCAGGGAGUGGAGGUUGCGGCAUCGUCUGGGCAGAGGAGCUGGGGCGUUUGCCAGAAGUCUCCAACGGGCCAUCUGGUCCCAGAGAGCAGAGCACACAGCCUCAAGAAAUACGAGAAAGGCGGCAGGGGCAGAGUGGACACAACCUGAAAACCAACUGGACUGAGCAUCCUUCUCCUAAAAUCUCAGCCAGAAGCCACGAUGGAGGGUCCUGGGAAGGGAAGAGAUGUGAAGAUUUCUGUGAUUCUAAAACCUUGGGUCUGCCUGCAAACUUCUCUCUGAUCCCAGCCGAGAGCUGUGCACACGCUAGCUAGCCCUGUCACACAAUAGCCCAGUGUUCCCGUCACAGUGCCUGGGAAUGAGAGGCUUUUGAGGCCACAGAGCUAUGACAAGUCCCCAGGUUGAAUUGACUCUGGGAGGACAAAUUUCUGAGAGACUCACGGGACCCUUAUCCAGGACAACCUCACAAAGAUCCCUGAAACUGAGCUUCCUCUGCUUCGUGCAUAGUUUGAGGUAUAAACUUUCCUUGUGUCUCGGUCAGAUGAAGUGAAGGAUGAAUAUUAUCCCAGGCUAAAGUAACGAAAAGUCCAGAAGCCAGCGAUGACAGAGAUGUGUGUGGAAGAAGGCUGUGAGCAUUUCCAUCAAACCCUGUGAGUUUCCGAAGAUCUUAUCCCGAAGAUAUGUGUUUGGCCAAUAAAACACUGAAUAAAAAUCCAUCAUGUUUCCA
Molecule: long non-coding RNA, 950 nt
Filed under: Homo sapiens (human)
Lineage: Eukaryota; Metazoa; Chordata; Mammalia; Primates; Hominidae
Description: HSALNT0298655
Source: RNAcentral